GUGAGUACCGUAGUGAGCCUUAUUGCUAUGUAGAUAAGGUCUGGAGUGCGACUCCGUACAGCUGGAGUUCACACACAUACUCACACAACAGCUGGACAGCCAGCGGCAGUAUUACGAGGGUCGGAUACAGGAGUGAGUACCGUAGUGAGCCUUAUUGCUAUGUAGAUAAGGUCUGGAGUGCGACUCCGUACAGCUGGAGUUCACACACAUACUCACACAACAGCUGGACAGCCAGCGGCAGUAUUACGAGGGUCGGAUACAGGAGUGAGUACCGUAGUGAGCCUUAUUGCUAUGUAGAUAAGGUCUGGAGUGCGACUCCGUACAGCUGGAGUUCACACACAUACUCACACAACAGCUGGACAGCCAGCGGCAGUAUUACGAGGGUCGGAUACAGGAGUGAGUACCGUAGUGAGCCUUAUUGCUAUGUAGAUAAGGUCUGGAGUGCGACUCCGUACAGCUGGAGUUCACACACAUACUCACACAACAGCUGGACAGCCAGCGGCAGUAUUACGAGGGUCGGAUACAGGAGUGAGUACCGUAGUGAGCCUUAUUGCUAUGUAGAUAAGGUCUGGAGUGCGACUCCGUACAGCUGGAGUUCACACACAUACUCACACAACAGCUGGACAGCCAGCGGCAGUAUUACGAGGGUCGGAUACAGGAGUGAGUACCGUAGUGAGCCUUAUUGCUAUGUAGAUAAGGUCUGGAGUGCGACUCCGUACAGCUGGAGUUCACACACAUACUCACACAACAGCUGGACAGCCAGCGGCAGUAUUACGAGGGUCGGAUACAGGAGUGAGUACCGUAGUGAGCCUUAUUGCUAUGUAGAUAAGGUCUGAAGUUCGACUCCGCACAGCUGGAGUUCACACACAUACUCACACAACAGCUGGACAGCCAGCGGCAGUAUUACGAGGGUCGGAUACAGGAGUGAGUACCGUAGUGAGCCUUAUUGCUAUGUAGAUAAGGUCUGAAGUUCGACUCCGCACAGCUGGAGUUCACACACAUACUCACACAACAGCUGGACAGCCAGCGGCAGUAUUACGAGGGUCGGAUACAGGAUCACUAUAUAUAAAAAACCGACCCUACCCGUGAAUAAUCAGUUCUUGUCAUAAUAUUUUGAACUUGUCGCGUUUUUCAGGUUUAAUUUCCAAAAUAUCGAUCCUAGAAGAAAAAUUGUUUGGACCAAACUUGUAGAGAAUCAAAUUUCCUACAAUUUUUGUCCUCACGAUUUUACUGUAAAAUCAAAAAUGGUCGAGUUAUUCAAGUAAAACCGUUUU
Cydia pomonella (codling moth) is the source of this 1274-nucleotide long non-coding RNA. RefSeq lists it as uncharacterized. The record is from RefSeq and is a predicted model, not a curated record. Lineage: Eukaryota; Metazoa; Arthropoda; Insecta; Lepidoptera; Tortricidae. The transcript is spliced from 2 exons.